ACCCCUUUAUUGAUGACAAAUUCAUACCCAACUCAGAGAAAUUAUGUUGAAAUCAAUUUAACAUGCAUCACCAUCUGAAUGAGCCU
Molecule: small nucleolar RNA, 86 nt
Organism: Drosophila subpulchrella
Lineage: Eukaryota; Metazoa; Arthropoda; Insecta; Diptera; Drosophilidae
Source: RefSeq, a predicted model, not a curated record